CCCCCUACCCCCUAUACAUCUCUCACACUCACCUCUCUUCAGAGACUCCUAUAAACCUUAAAAGUCGCCACUAUAUCCAACUGCCCUAAAGUGGCGGCGGCGCCUCUAUACCACCUCAAAUCCAUAUCCCGAAACCCUCGUGGCUUCUUCAUACCAAAUCAUGCACCCCUUUUCUUCAAAUCAUCACAGAAGUUGUCGAAUUUUAAAUCAAAGGUCGGAACCCUAAAAUCCCAAAACCCAAGUCAGUGAAGUUUACCGAAUGCUUAAGGCCAAAAUCGGCUUUAUUCUUGUAUUUUCAUUUAAGAACACAUGAUUAAAGCCUAUUUAGUUCAAAAAUCAGAGUUACCUUUGAAGACCUUUCAAGCCUUUUUCCAUUUUGCCUAGGUAUUCUUCAGUUCUUUUCCUUUCUUUCAUUUUUUUUGUUCAUUAGUUUGUCUGUUUUAAGUUCUAGUCUUCAUCUUCUCUUACUUUGUCUACUCCGUUUUUUUGUUUUCAUUUUAAAUUGGUAUGUUUGUGUGUUUUAAAAUUGAGUUUUUCAUGCAUGUCGUGUUAAUUUUUAUUGUUUCUUUGUGUUAUUUUAUUUUCUCGUUUUCAAAGAAAAAUAAAUUCAAUUUUCCUCUUGGGCAAUUCUGCCUAGCCCAAUGAUUCCAUACGGACUUUGAAAUCAGAAGCCUAGGAAGGAAAUUCAAUCUAGUCUUGCAAGCCUAGGAUUUGUGAAUUAAACCAUAGGUUCAAUCUGAGUCUUGACCCGUAGGUGUUUGGUCUUUGAAGUAAAACUGGGGCUCCUAAGGGGUAGUUUAGGAAUUGUAGGUGGGGGAAUAUUUUGUAACAAGAAAAGGAAGCUUCUAUGAAGUAGAAAUUGGGGGGCUGUUAUGAUAACUUGGUAAUUACAAUAAGGUUAGUUCAGAAAAAAGAAAAUUACCUAAGGAUUUCUAAACAAAAAAGUAAAAUUCAUAAAGGGGUAAAAUGCAAAUGACAAAAUCUGCUAUUUUCCCUACUUCUGUUGCCUAUAAAGGCACCUUUCUUGCCUUCUAAGGUAGAAAUUCAGUGAUAAAAUUCCAAAAAAUAAAAUGGCUAAGCGCCAUUAUAUUCAUUGAAUUUUUUUCCCUUCCUUGGUUGAUUUCUGAAGAUUUCCAGGCUUGACACUUUUUUUGGUUCAUUUUGACAGUUCACAUGGAGUGAUAUUGAGCUUUGGGAAGGUUUUCUGGUUCGAGUUGUUAAGGAUCACUGUUGCAUUAAAUUGUCCAGGUGGUUUUAGUGUGUCAAUUGUUGAAUCUGAGUGAACUGGGGUUGCUGGUGUUGGCAUGUUACUGCUCUAUUGCUGAUUCUUCCUUUUCUAUUUUAUUUUUGAAUUCCAGGUACUUUUCCUCAAUAUGAAAUAAAAUCUGAAAGCAUGAUAUAGAUCCCUUUGUUUCAUUUCUAGUUCUUCACGAUUCUAUGCUUUCUAUCACAUGAAUCACUGUGUAAUUAACAAGAUUCCUAUGUUUGUACUUGCUUAAGGACAGUUAGAAAAUUGAUGUUUUUCUUUCUUUCAGUUUGUUUUCUUUUACUACUAUGAUGGAUAUAUAAGUGUGCCUGUUACUUUUAGCUUUUCAUACCCUUAAUAUGCAUUAAUGAUGAACUAAUGUCAUUUAAAUGUGAAGGUUUUGGUUGAAUUCAAGAUUUUUGACAAGCAGUACUGGUCUAUUCUAUCCUCACCCCAUUCAACAAGUUAGAGUUUAGUUUUAGAUAUAUUUAAUGGUAUCCCUUGUAUAUGAUCAGUCCUGCGAGCUGGUUUCUGGUUUAUGAAAUUUCGUUGUCUUUUAUAUGAUAGUUAAGGCUAAUACAUAAGCAAUUGUAUGACAAUAAGGUUUUGAAUUCAUGCUUAACAUGUUUUGUAUUGUAUUAAUAUUUUCAUUUGAAUGAGUGUUAAAACAUCCAAUGAUUGUGUUGAGGGCUUUAGUACUGAUUUUUAAGAUUCUAGAGGGAACUAGGCUAUAAUGCAUUGGUCUAUUGGCUGUUAAUGUUGAGGUGAAUUAAAUUCAGCUUAGUCGUUGAGAGGUUCAUUGAUUGUCUAUUAUUGCUUACAUGAGCAGAGCUGGUUUUUUAGGUUCAUGGUUAAAGUCCUACUAGUUUUGUUCAUGCGAGAUUUGCAUAUCAGCAUUUCAAGUUAAAAGCUUUGAAAAUUUAAAUUCAUAUGCAGUAUGGUUUUCUCAAAAUUGGCUUCCUGAUUGUUGUCAAAUCGUGAAAUUGUUAAAGCUUUCAUGUAGUUGUCCAUAGGUCCAUUACAGGGUGUUAUAUAACUUGGCAUAUACGGUAGUUCCACGAUUAUUUUCUACUAUGUC
RNAcentral lists this long non-coding RNA (2324 nucleotides) under Nicotiana benthamiana. RNAcentral describes it as "long non-coding RNA (NBEN_LNC033845)". The record is from RNAcentral. Lineage: Eukaryota; Viridiplantae; Streptophyta; Magnoliopsida; Solanales; Solanaceae.